AGAGUUUGAUCAUGGCUCAGGACGAACGCUGGCGGCGUGCUUAACACAUGCAAGUCGAACGAUGAAGCUGGAGCUUGCUCCGGUGGAUUAGUGGCGAACGGGUGAGUAACACGUGAGCAAUCUGCCCUUGACUCUGGGAUAACUGCGGGAAACUGUAGCUAAUACCGGAUAUGAGGCUCGAAGGCAUCUUCGGGUCUGGAAAGAAUUUCGGUCAAGGAUGAGCUCGCGGCCUAUCAGCUUGUUGGUGAGGUAAUGGCUCACCAAGGCGACGACGGGUAGCCGGCCUGAGAGGGUGACCGGCCACACUGGGACUGAGACACGGCCCAGACUCCUACGGGAGGCAGCAGUGGGGAAUAUUGCACAAUGGGCGAAAGCCUGAUGCAGCAACGCCGCGUGAGGGAUGAAGGCCUUCGGGUUGUAAACCUCUUUUAGCAGGGAAGAAGCGAAAGUGACGGUACCUGCAGAAAAAGCACCGGCUAACUACGUGCCAGCAGCCGCGGUAAUACGUAGGGUGCAAGCGUUGUCCGGAAUUAUUGGGCGUAAAGAGCUCGUAGGCGGUUUGUCGCGUCUGCUGUGAAAACCUGAGGCUCAACCUCAGACCUGCAGUGGGUACGGGCAAGCUAGAGUGCGGUAGGGGAGAUGGGAAUUCCUGGUGUAGCGGUGGAAUGCGCAGAUAUCAGGAGGAACACCAAUGGCGAAGGCACAUCUCUGGGCCGUAACUGACGCUGAGGAGCGAAAGCGUGGGGAGCGAACAGGAUUAGAUACCCUGGUAGUCCACGCCGUAAACGGUGGGUGCUAGU
RNAcentral lists this ribosomal RNA (800 nucleotides) under uncultured bacterium. Its description in RNAcentral is "bacterial SSU rRNA". It matches the Rfam family "Bacterial small subunit ribosomal RNA", at positions 8 to 820 of the family's 1533-position model. The record is from RNAcentral.